This 539-nucleotide ribosomal RNA is filed under the name uncultured bacterium. RNAcentral describes it as "bacterial SSU rRNA". It matches the Rfam family "Bacterial small subunit ribosomal RNA", at positions 777 to 1314 of the family's 1533-position model. The record is from RNAcentral.
AAUAGAUACCCUGGUAGUCCACGCCGUAAACGAUGAGUGCUAGGUGUUAGGGGGGUCCAACCCCUUAGUGCUGAAGUUAACACAUUAAGCACUCCGCCUGGGGAGUACGACCGCAAGGUUGAAACUCAAAGGAAUUGACGGGGGCCCGCACAAGCAGUGGAGCAUGUGGUUUAAUUCGAAGCAACGCGAAGAACCUUACCAGGUCUUGACAUCCUCUGACAACCCUAGAGAUAGGGCGUUCCCCUUCGGGGGACAGAGUGACAGGUGGUGCAUGGUUGUCGUCAGCUCGUGUCGUGAGAUGUUGGGUUAAGUCCCGCAACGAGCGCAACCCUUGAUGUUAGUUGCCAGCAUUCAGUUGGGCACUCUAACGUGACUGCCGGUGACAAACCGGAGGAAGGUGGGGAUGACGUCAAAUCAUCAUGCCCCUUAUGACCUGGGCUACACACGUGCUACAAUGGGCGGUACAAAGGGCAGCGAAACCGCGAGGUGGAGCCAAUCCCAUAAAGCCGCUCUCAGUUCGGAUUGCAGGCUGCAACUCG